Molecule: ribosomal RNA, 449 nt
Filed under: Acinetobacter pittii
Lineage: Bacteria; Pseudomonadati; Pseudomonadota; Gammaproteobacteria; Moraxellales; Moraxellaceae
Description: bacterial SSU rRNA
Rfam family: Bacterial small subunit ribosomal RNA
Source: RNAcentral
UUUAACUGAAGAGUUUGAUCAUGGCUCAGAUUGAACGCUGGCGGCAGGCUUAACACAUGCAAGUCGAGCGGAGAGAGGUAGCUUGCUACUGAUCUUAGCGGCGGACGGGUGAGUAAUGCUUAGGAAUCUGCCUAUUAGUGGGGGACAACAUUUCGAAAGGAAUGCUAAUACCGCAUACGUCCUACGGGAGAAAGCAGGGGAUCUUCGGACCUUGCGCUAAUAGAUGAGCCUAAGUCGGAUUAGCUAGUUGGUGGGGUAAAGGCCUACCAAGGCGACGAUCUGUAGCGGGUCUGAGAGGAUGAUCCGCCACACUGGGACUGAGACACGGCCCAGACUCCUACGGGAGGCAGCAGUGGGGAAUAUUGGACAAUGGGCGCAAGCCUGAUCCAGCCAUGCCGCGUGUGUGAAGAAGGCCUUAUGGUUGUAAAGCACUUUAAGCGAGGAGGAGG